GAGGAUUUGACACGUCUCAGAUCAGAUGAGGUGAGAGUCCUGCAAAGCAGGUAGCUGGCUCCGCCAACGGCCGCGCGGCGCUGAGCUGAGCUGAGCUGAGCUGCCUCAGAGCCCGCCGCUCGCCCGUCAGUGCUAAAGAAGGUGCCGCGUACGGCUGCUAGGGCUCAGUUCUCACCUUGGCGAAGGGUGAAGAGCCGUUUUCCCCUCCCUUGUAACUCUUAAGCAAGACCAGUGGGCACCGCGGCUGGGAAUCGCUGCGAUGUCUGACUUCGGGGAGAGCUGGGUGUGCCUUCUCGCCCUUGGCAGGGGGCAAAUACGUGAGGCAGGCAGGUGGUCUUGUUCACUUGUCGAGUGCUUCACACUUAUUACUGAAAACUGGUUUAUCAUUGUGUUUUUGUAGUGCCAGGCUAGCUCUUAACCAUUGUCAAGAUCAGAAACAAACAAACAAAAAGAUGUUUUUGCCUAAUUUAGUGUAAUUACUAACUUAAAAUUACUGUCCUGGAGACUUCAACAUGGUAUAACCAUACAUCAGCAUAUUUUCUUUACGAAGGCAUAUUCAGUGCAUGCUUAUAUUGUUUGGCUGUACUUGGUGCACAAACUCCUUAAGUUUAACGUGCAUAAAAUUCAUCUAUAGUUGAAAGGUACAUAUUCUAUAUUUUAGUGUUCCUCCUUUUUUCCAUGACAAAUAUAAGACAAAUAGACAAAUAGAAAACUUAAUUUCACUCUAAUGUGGGGAAACAGCUGUGAUUUCAGAAAGUCGGAUUGCACAUGAGGAGCCCCUCCUGUUCAUCAGAAAACCCAAGCGCACCACACAUUUGGGACAAUGGGAGACAUCUUGCUGCCAUGGACAACUGUAAUGCAAGCGAAAAAUGGGAGGUACCUGACAGCUCAACUGUAAUCAGUCAGUGUGCUCCAAGGUCAUUUAAGCAAGCAUCCACCUGCCAUAUUGCUCUUUUUGUUAGCAAGUAGACAUGGGGAGCAUGUGCUUCCGAGCAGGUCAGUUAGUGUAAGAGAAACUCAGUUUACUGAAAGCAAGAGUAAAACCGAUUAUUAUUCUAGGAAUUGAGAUCAUCUUUAAAUGGAAAAUAUUUUCAAGUGCUUGUAGGAUAAAAAGUGUGAAGAAGAAGAAGUGAUUGAGAGUAUUUUCCCUGGGAUACAACUGUGCUGUUGACAGUAUUUUUGCGUCUGUAAAUCAUUCUUUCCCAAAUCCCACUUUUCCCCAACUGGGGACAGUUCCAUUUGCAUGACUUACCCUAUAGCUAAGUGAUAUUUUGAAUCCAUCGUUCUUUAUUAAACUUCUGUCCUGUAACUCACGUAUUCUGAACUGGCAUACUCCCAGUUCCUCCGUCUAACUUCAUAAAGGAAUCAUUUAAAAAAAUCAGGCCAAGACACUCAACAAGACUCAAAAAAACCCCGUAUUUGAAUUAAUUCUUUUUUUUUUCUUCAAAGACUUUUUUCGCCAAAUUAACUACCCACAGAUAGGCAGUGUUCCCUGUUAAGAACACUUUGCCAACACAUCUCACCCUGGAACUGUCAGCUAGAAUACAGAAUCUAUAAUGAUUGCAGCUGCUAUUACAGAAUGGAGGAAAAAAGAGAAAGCAAGUGAAUAAGAGCUUGAACUAGUCAUCAUUUUGAACCAAAUACAAAAUAAGAUAUAAUCCAGGGCAGGGCGUUAAAUACUAUUGUGAUGAGAUAUUCUUUCCCCUGCUUAUCCUGCUCAAUUGGUAAAUAGUAUCAUCAUAGGCAAGCUGUGAUGUGAUUGGUGUGGUAAAAUAUGUUCAGAAGGCUAGCAGGCAAGACAAGAGCAUAGAUUACUACUUUGUGCAGAAGAUAGCUUUAAUUAUAUGAUAAACUACUUGCAAUUCUAUUCUGUCAAUUGUAUUUCCCUUCUAUGCAGUUCUUUUCAGAUUUCUAAAAUAAAUUUUA
Molecule: long non-coding RNA, 1926 nt
Organism: Struthio camelus australis
Lineage: Eukaryota; Metazoa; Chordata; Aves; Struthioniformes; Struthionidae
Source: Ensembl